ACAAAGUACAGUAACCGUUAGCUACAGUCUGAAGUGACCAAACCAGCUACGUUAACUUAGCAUCGUGGAGAAGUUGAUCGCAUUGGCAUUUGAGAUUAUGAAGAGACCACUAAGACCAAGUCGGCGUUUUCGUGCCAUUUGUUUUAUUCCCAUAUUGUACGUUUACCUGAAAAAGCCCGUAAGCAAUCCAGUUAGCUAACGUUAGCUAAACUGCGCUAGCUAAUCAUUUGAAGAAGUUACCUAAUAAAAAUGGGCUGGUGUCCAUUGCGUUGCUGUAAAUUGUAGACUGCACUGUCAGAAAGCGUUUGGACCGUAGGAACACAACGUCAAUACGCCACCGGUCUGCAGCAUUCAAAGCUCGUCUGUCUCUCCAUCGAAGGGCACAGCAUCCGUCUCCAUAUGAAUGCUGCUGGGUUCACUGCUGCCCACCCAGCCAAUGGGAGUGCGGUUGAAGGAAGGCCGGCAGCCGAUGUCAUGCUGGUACACCACUGCAGGUUCAGGCUCCUCUUUGAUUGCCUCAGCUUCUGGCAGCUGGAAUUUCAUGAACUGGUUGGCCUUCUCAAAGCCUCCAAAGGGCAUGGCAGUCCUAGCAAAGCAAGAGAAGUGAUUGGAUUUUUUCCAUGAGCUCCGCUCUCACCAUAGACUCACUGCUGAAGAUGUCAGGAUUGUUCUCGUAGAUGAACCUCUCCACUCUCUUCUGCCUCAUCUUGAACAUCUUGGAGCCACGGUUGUUCUGCAGGGAAAGCUCCUCCAGCAUGAUGUCUUUGGGAGUCCUGAUUUUUGUUCCCAGGUCGAACUCAGAUGCCUCUGGCUCUGACUCAUAUUCUAGGUAAGGGACAUUUAAACAAAGGAGCAUUAUAUUUAGAAAUGUCAGAGUAGUGACAUGCCAAA
This is a long non-coding RNA of Micropterus salmoides (largemouth bass), 891 nucleotides long. RefSeq lists it as uncharacterized. NCBI's taxonomy places the organism in Eukaryota, Metazoa, Chordata, Actinopteri, Centrarchiformes, Centrarchidae. The record is from RefSeq and is a predicted model, not a curated record. The transcript has 3 exons.